This 507-nucleotide ribosomal RNA is filed under the name uncultured bacterium. RNAcentral's name for it is "partial 16S ribosomal RNA". It matches the Rfam family "Bacterial small subunit ribosomal RNA", at positions 28 to 507 of the family's 1533-position model. The record is from RNAcentral.
GACGAACGCUGGCGGCGUGCCUAAUACAUGCAAGUCGAACGCAUUUUCUUUCACCGUAGCUUGCUACACCGAAAGAAAAUGAGUGGCGAACGGGUGAGUAACACGUGGGUAACCUGCCCAUCAGCGGGGGAUAACACUUGGAAACAGGUGCUAAUACCGCAUAAUUCCAUUUACCGCAUGGUAGAUGGGUGAAAGGCGCUUUUGCGUCACUGAUGGAUGGACCCGCGGUGCAUUAGCUAGUUGGUGGGGUAACGGCCUGCCAAGGCUGCGAUGCAUAGCCGACCUGAGAGGGUGAUCGGCCACACUGGGACUGAGACACGGCCCAGACUCCUACGGGAGGCAGCAGUAGGGAAUCUUCGGCAAUGGACGCAAGUCUGACCGAGCAACGCCGCGUGAGUGAAGAAGGUUUUCGGAUCGUAAAACUCUGUUGUUAGAGAAGAACAAGGAUGAGAGUGGAAAGUUCAUCCCUUGACGGUAUCUAACCAGAAAGCCACGGCUAACUACGUG